GAGAGACCGAAAAGGCUGGGGGUGGGAGUAGCGGAUUUGAAGCACUUGUUGGCCUACAGAGGUGUGGCAAGCAGAGCGCCUCAGAACUCAGGCGUACUGCCCGCCGCCCGAGCCCUGCGAGGGCCGAUAGCGAGGGUGUGGCCCUUAUCUGCACCCAGCAGAGCGCCGGCGGGGUACGGUCUUAGGACCUCGAUCUCCUUCUCCCUCAUUUUCUCUCAUCCCUACCUAUUGUGGGUUUCCGCAUGGGCCGGACCGUGGUCGUGCUGGGCGGAGGCAUCAGCGGCUUGGCCGCCAGUUACCACCUGAGCCGGGCCCCCUGCCCCCCUAAGGUGGUCCUAGUGGAGAGCAGUGAGCGUCUGGGAGGCUGGAUUCGCUCCGUUCGAGGCCCGAAUGGUGCUAUCUUUGAGCUUGGACCUCGGGGAAUUAGGCCAGCGGGAGCCCUAGGGGCCCGGACCUUGCUCCUGGUGAGAGGCUUGUGGGAUGUCUAGGAGAGGUUGUGGAGGGGGCUUCCAUUGGGGAAUAGAGUUUAGGGGAGGAAGUAUGUUUGGUGGGUCAGACCUUCCCUUAGUUUCUCCUCUUCUGAGGGCAUGUGGAGAGCAGGUUUCUGAGCUUGGCUUGGAUUCAGAAGUGCUGCCUGUCCGGGGAGACCACCCAGCUGCCCAGAACAGGUUCCUCUACGUGGGCGGUGCCCUGCAUGCCCUACCCACUGGCCUCAGGGGGCUACUCCGCCCUUCACCCCCCUUCUCCAAACCUCUGUUUUGGGCUGGGCUGAGGGAGCUGACCAAGCCCCGGGGCAAAGAGCCUGAUGAGACUGUGCACAGUUUUGCCCAGCGCCGCCUUGGACCUGAGGUGGCGUCUCUAGCCAUGGACAGUCUCUGCCGUGGAGUGUUUGCAGGCAACAGCCGUGAGCUCAGCAUCAGGUCCUGCUUUCCCAGUCUCUUCCAAGCUGAGCAAACCCAUCGU
RNAcentral lists this small RNA (963 nucleotides) under Pan troglodytes (chimpanzee). RNAcentral's name for it is "retained intron". The record is from RNAcentral. Lineage: Eukaryota; Metazoa; Chordata; Mammalia; Primates; Hominidae.